Molecule: ribosomal RNA, 240 nt
Filed under: uncultured Gardnerella sp.
Lineage: Bacteria; Bacillati; Actinomycetota; Actinomycetes; Bifidobacteriales; Bifidobacteriaceae
Description: partial 16S ribosomal RNA
Rfam family: Bacterial small subunit ribosomal RNA
Source: RNAcentral
GCGUGACCAACCUGCCCCAUGCUCCAGAAUAGCUCUUGGAAACGGGUGGUAAUGCUGGAUGCUCCAACUUGACGCAUGUCUUGUUGGGAAAGUGUUUAGUGGCAUGGGAUGGGGUCGCGUCCUAUCAGCUUGUAGGCGGGGUAAUGGCCCACCUAGGCUUCGACGGGUAGCCGGCCUGAGAGGGCGGACGGCCACAUUGGGACUGAGAUACGGCCCAGACUCCUACGGGAGGCAGCAGGC